Molecule: ribosomal RNA, 572 nt
Filed under: Helotiales sp. OTU16 TS-2013
Lineage: Eukaryota; Fungi; Ascomycota; Leotiomycetes; Helotiales
Description: eukaryotic LSU rRNA
Rfam family: Eukaryotic large subunit ribosomal RNA
Source: RNAcentral
AAACCAACAGGGAUUACCUCAGUAACGGCGAGUGAAGCGGUAACAGCUCAAAUUUGAAAUCUGGCUCUUUCAGGGUCCGAGUUGUAAUUUGUAGAAGAUGCUUCGGUGUGGUCCCGGUCUAAGUUCCUUGGAACAGGACGUCAUAGAGGGUGAGAAUCCCGUAUGUGACUGGGUGCCUUCGCUCAUGUGAAGCUCUUUCGACGAGUCGAGUUGUUUGGGAAUGCAGCUCUAAAUGGGUGGUAUAUUUCAUCUAAAGCUAAAUAUUGGCCAGAGACCGAUAGCGCACAAGUAGAGUGAUCGAAAGAUGAAAAGCACUUUGGAAAGAGAGUUAAACAGUACGUGAAAUUGUUGAAAGGGAAGCGCUUGCAACCAGACUUGCCCGCCGUCGAUCAUCCGGGGUUCUCCCCGGUGCACUCGGCGGCGUUCAGGGCCAGCAUCGGUUUCGGGGGUGGGAUAAAGACCUUGGGAAUGUANCUUCUUUCGGGGAGUGUUAUAGCCCUCGGUGCAAUGCCGCCUCUCGGGACCGAGGACCGCGCUUCGGCUAGGAUGCUGGCGUAAUGGUUGUAAGCGAC